CGAACGGAGAUAUGAUUUCGGUUGUAUCUUAGUGGCCAACGGGUGAGUAACGGAUGAGCGACCUGACUCUUAGAGGGGGAUAACGCUCAAAAACGGGUGCUAAUACCGCAUAACACCACGACCUGGCAUCAUGACGAGGUCAAAGGAGCAAUCCGCUGAGAGAGGGGCUCGCGUCCCAUUAGAUAGAUGGCGGGGUAACGGCCCACCAUGUCAACGAUGGGUAGCCGAGCUGAGAGGCUGAUCGGCCACACUGGAACUGAGACACGGUCCAG
Molecule: ribosomal RNA, 272 nt
Filed under: uncultured Eubacteriales bacterium
Lineage: Bacteria; Bacillati; Bacillota; Clostridia; Eubacteriales
Description: uncultured Clostridiales bacterium partial 16S ribosomal RNA
Rfam family: Bacterial small subunit ribosomal RNA
Source: RNAcentral